Molecule: microRNA precursor, 69 nt
Organism: Gorilla gorilla gorilla (western lowland gorilla)
Lineage: Eukaryota; Metazoa; Chordata; Mammalia; Primates; Hominidae
Source: Ensembl
GACUACUUGGGAGGGAAGACAGCUGGACAGUAUGGUCACAGCAGCAUCCUCCUCUGUUUUCUUUCCUAG